UCCUAGCAAUCCCUUUUGAGCACACGCGAGGUUGUUGUAAUCAUGGAAGAGUUUAGAAGGGCUUAUGAUAGCAUGAAUUGUUUCAAAUUUAUGGCUUUAGUUUCUGGUGUUGAAACUCUGAAGUUACCUAUAUGAUCUACCAGUAUAUCCAGUUUUAACUUGGUAUCAUUUGUUAACAACAUUCCUUUUUUAGUGGGGUUUGUUUAAGCCUACUAUGGGCAUGAAGCUGGCAGUUCAACUUGAAAAAGAAGCAGCUAAUGAAAACUUAAUUUCUUCUAUGUCGUUCCACUUCUUACUUAGUUGUCAUUUGGAUUAUGUANAUUGUGUUGAUAUACUCUUGUUAUAGAGUAGCUAUAUUUUUCCCUCUUUGUUGUUUUGACUACUUAGGUCAGAGUCUUUGGAGGUAUUUUGGAUUAGGAUAUGUCCAAGUAUCAACGGUCUAUUUCCAAUUAUGGAUGUGAUUGUCAGAUAUUUUCUAGGAAUAUGGAUGUAUAUUUAAUUCAGUUUUAUUCUUGUAUUGAAUUAGAUAUUUGUUAACAUGGUCCUUUAAUUCUUAUAUAAUUAUUAUGAAUGAUUAUUGCUUUA
Long non-coding RNA from Vigna radiata var. radiata (mung bean), 585 nucleotides. RefSeq lists it as uncharacterized. The transcript is spliced from 2 exons. The record is from RefSeq and is a predicted model, not a curated record. NCBI's taxonomy places the organism in Eukaryota, Viridiplantae, Streptophyta, Magnoliopsida, Fabales, Fabaceae.